AUAUAAUUAGAAUUUAGUUUAGAUAAGAUUUGCCAUUAGUGUCAAGUUAUGAUAGUUUAAACUUUAAAGCCCUUUAAUUUAGGGGGGAAAAAAAAGACCUAUAAGUUGAUGUAUUUGUGAAAACAUGUCAUAUUUUGAUAUAUUUUGUUUGUUUUGCAUGGCUACAUAUUAUUUUAAUCAGUUUCUAAAAUUCAUACCAAAUCUUACAAUUCGAUUCGACCUGACUCUCUAUUCCAGAUUCACAAAAGGAGGAUUUUGAUUCUCGAUUCGACAACUACGAAAGCAAUACAAAAAAUUAGGGACAAAGCAGAAUCCUUUUUUUGACAUGUAAUUUACCAAACAUUGAAUAAUAAUUUGUCAUGAUUCUUUUUAAUGAUUGCACUAAUGCAUCAA
This 393-nucleotide unclassified non-coding RNA is filed under the name Hevea brasiliensis (rubber tree). The record is from RNAcentral. Lineage: Eukaryota; Viridiplantae; Streptophyta; Magnoliopsida; Malpighiales; Euphorbiaceae.